GUAUUGACCUGGCAGGGGAGUGACGGUGAUCACAAGGCUGUUCUCCCGGGCUGAGACUCGCCCACUGCACCACGGAAGUGCUGACGCCUGCCGUGUCCCAAAUGUGGGACACUCGACUCUAAAAUGUGUGGUGGCGGGGACUGUGUUCGCGCUCUCCUUGA
Molecule: small nuclear RNA, 161 nt
Organism: Pristis pectinata (smalltooth sawfish)
Lineage: Eukaryota; Metazoa; Chordata; Chondrichthyes; Rhinopristiformes; Pristidae
Product: U1 spliceosomal RNA
Exons: 1
Source: RefSeq, a predicted model, not a curated record